AUUGAACGCUGGCGGCAUGCUUUACACAUGCAAGUCGAACGGUAACAGGCCUUCGGGUGCUGACGAGUGGCGAACGGGUGAGUAAUGCAUCGGAACGUACCCAGAGGUGGGGGAUAACGCAGCGAAAGCUGUGCUAAUACCGCAUGUGAUCUGAGGAUGAAAGCGGGGGACCGCGCAGCAAUGUUUGGCCUCGCGCCUUUGGAGCGGCCGAUGUCGGAUUAGCUAGUUGGUGGGGUAAAGGCCUACCAAGGCGACGAUCCGUAGCUGGUCUGAGAGGACGACCAGCCACACUGGGACUGAGACACGGCCCAGAGUCCGACGGGAGGCAGCAGUGGGGAAUUUUGGACAAUGAGCGCAAGCCUGAUACAGCAAUGCCGCGUGCGGGAAGAAGGCCUUCGGGUUGUAAACCGCUUUUGGCAGGAACGAAACGGUGUCCGCUAAUACCGGGCGCUAAUGACGGUACCUGCAGAAUAAGCACCGGCUAACUACGUG
Molecule: ribosomal RNA, 492 nt
Filed under: uncultured bacterium
Lineage: Bacteria
Description: partial 16S ribosomal RNA
Rfam family: Bacterial small subunit ribosomal RNA
Source: RNAcentral